RNAcentral lists this long non-coding RNA (689 nucleotides) under Cricetulus griseus (Chinese hamster). RNAcentral's name for it is "lncRNA (ENSCGRG00015041707.1)". Lineage: Eukaryota; Metazoa; Chordata; Mammalia; Rodentia; Cricetidae. The record is from RNAcentral.
UGGAGAUCUGUGAAAUCCACUGGCCAUUAGGGCAGAGAAGAGGGGGCGGCUGCAGCAGGCGGUCUGGGCAGGGUUGUGGGCAGGAUUUGGGGGUUGGAUUUGGAGGAGAGGUAGGGAAGUGAAAAUCCGCAGUUCGGCUGUCUGCCCCACCGGCCUUUAAGGGGCCUGUAUGUUCUCGAGGAAUGCCUGCUGGAGUGGGAGGCUGGGAUAAUGGGAAGAAGAUGGCGGAAAGAAAGAUUGGAGGAGGAGGUCUACAUGAUCCUUUGGAGAUCCCGGGGUCAGAGAGGACGGGGAGACCGGAACAGAGCCCUCAUCCAAUGGCUGAUGGAAGCAGAGACAGACAUCCACAGAUAUACACUGAGCUGAAAUCUGGAAUUUAAUUGAAGAGAGGAAGGAAUGAAGAGCGAAGGGGUCUGUACCAGGUUGGAGAAACCCACACUAACAGUUGGCCUGAACAAGGGAGAGCACAUCGACCCUGUGUGCUGUCGGGGAGGCCAGGACAAGACUGAUCCAGACCCCUGAACAUGGAUGUCAAUAAGGAGGCCUAUGGUAGUGGAUUAGUAUUUUUCCCUGGUGCAAGAAGGGACUUUGAGAGCCCAUCCCACAUGAAGGGAUACACUCUGGCCCUGGACACAUGGGGAAGGGCCCAGGCCCAGUACAGGAAGAUUUGGAGGACACUGCAGAGCCCC